Molecule: long non-coding RNA, 429 nt
Filed under: Salvia miltiorrhiza (redroot sage)
Lineage: Eukaryota; Viridiplantae; Streptophyta; Magnoliopsida; Lamiales; Lamiaceae
Description: long non-coding RNA (SMIL_LNC011582)
Source: RNAcentral
CUUGAGCUAAGUUUACCCAAAUGCACUAAAUAAUAAGGGUGUGGUGCGACCUAAUCAUACAAAAUUAAUGUUUGAAGAUUAGGAGCUUACGGAAACAUAAGAGCAAGUUGGAAUGAUGGAAAGGGUGUGGUUGUGAGCGUGAGUAAAGGCGGCGGCGCAGAGAUCAGCGGCAAGGCCUAGCCCCCUCUUUCUGGGCGGCACAUACGUAUGAGUUAUGUCGAUUACUUUACUGCCUCUUUCUGUGGCCACAAUCACUGGACAAGAGGAUCUGGGGGGAAGAGGAGCCCGAGCCUCAGGCGGAUGGGUGGCGGAUCGGCGGAUUCAGGCGGCGGCGGAUGGGUAGGGAUUCGGGCGGAUGCGUCGGAGAAAUGAAAAUAGACGUUCGAUUUUGAUUAGGGUUGCAGCGAAAUGAAAAAGAAAACAUAAUUU